UAACAUUUGAAAUUCACAUGGAAUUCAUGACAGAUCACACUGCAACGCACUUCUUCGGGGAACAUAUCUAGGACAUAAAACCUGAGAUUAUUAGGAGGUGUAGGAUAAAAAAUAGUGGAGCAUGUGUCUGGGAUAGUAAUCUGCACCAAUCUUAAGUAACACUGGGAGAUGUAUGUCUCAGUGUUGACCCCACAACAAAGUUCUCCUUUUAACCUCUACACUACAUUAACACUAUAGGUAAAGAUUAACCCUACACUGCAUUAACACUAUAAUUAAACAUUAACUCCUACACUGCAUUAACACUAUAACUAAACACUAACCCCUACACUGCAUUAACACUAUUACUAAAUACUAACUCCUACACUGCAUUAACACUACCACUAACCCCUACGCCACGUUAACACAAUAACUAAACACUACAUUAAUACUAUC
Molecule: non-coding RNA, 432 nt
Organism: Pelobates cultripes (western spadefoot toad)
Lineage: Eukaryota; Metazoa; Chordata; Amphibia; Anura; Pelobatidae
Source: the annotation of a GenBank genome assembly